This 460-nucleotide ribosomal RNA is filed under the name uncultured bacterium. Its description in RNAcentral is "partial 16S ribosomal RNA". It matches the Rfam family "Bacterial small subunit ribosomal RNA", at positions 338 to 795 of the family's 1533-position model. The record is from RNAcentral.
CCUACGGGAGGCAGCAGUGAGGAAUAUUGGUCAAUGGACGAGAGUCUGAACCAGCCAAGCAGCGUGAAGGAAGACUGCUCUAUGGGUUGUAAACUUCUUUUAUAAGGGAAUAAAACGUGGCACGUGUGCCUUUAUGAGUGUACUUUAUGAACAAGGAUCGGCUAACUCCGUGCCAGCAGCCGCGGUAAUACGGAGGAUUCGAGCGUUAUACGGAUUUGUUGGGUUUAAAGGGAGCGUAGGGGGGUGGUUAAGUCAGAUGUGAAAACUUGCGGCUCAACCCAAAGACUGCAAUUGAUACGGGCAGUCUUGAGUUCAGGUGAGGUAGGCGGAAUUCGGGGUGUAGCGGUGAAAUGCUUAGAUAUCCCGAAGAACCCCGAUUGCGAAGGCAGCUUGCUGGACUGUGACUGACGCUGAGGCUCGAAAGUGUGGGUAUCAAACAGGAUUAGAUACCCGAGUAGUC